GGUUAGUAAUGCCUAACCACCAAAGACAAGGGAUGCAUGGUUAUAAGAAUGAGAUACAAGUCCAGAACAAUAAUCAGAAUGAUUUCGCAUGCAGGGAUAUACGGAGAUAAGUAGUUAGUCUUGUUAUCCUUAGAACUGAAAUAGAUGGGCAGACUAAUAGAGCCUUAUUUCAUCUGAAUAACUGAAAAACUGUAAGUCUGGUGAGCAAAGGGCCCCAACUGAUGUCACAAAAAUAGUGAUUUAAGUUCUCUCAUACAAUUUUCAGACUGGAACUAGUUCACAGACCCAAAGAUGCUUGAAUGAAGGAAAGGCAAUCUUCCCUGGAGGAAGAACUCAACAGCACUUCCACAAACAGUACAUUCCGGACUCUUCAUUCCUGCCUUGUGUGACCCAGGGAUGGAGGACUGCCCUUCCAACUCAUUAUCCUCUUUGCCCAGGAGCUGUGUGAGACAGAUGGUCAUGCAGUGGAGAAUAAAUGAGGACCCUUUAAUCCAGCUGGUGCUUUGCUUGUCUCACUUGUGGUGUUGGAUGCAUUCGGCUAACAGUGGGAAUCCGGGGGACUGUGUGGUAAGGAUGAGUGGGGUCAUAUACUGGGCUGCCUUUUUUCCCAGUACACAGUAGAAUGGCCAUGCAAGUUGUUAAAAUACUAAAAUAUUUUUGCACUCGUUGAUAAAUAGCAACUGGUUAGGGCCCCUUAACACUAAGCUGUUCCCGUCACCCACCACCCUGGAUUCCUGUGUCCCAGCUCUGGAGUAUUUGGACCUGCCUUCCCACAUCCAGUUGGAUUGAUACCUGGUACAAAAAGAAGCCUUAGGACUUCUGUUACUGCUUUUUAAAACCACUUGUAUCUAUUUGUUUUUACCCUGUAUGCAACCCAACUAAUUAUUAUAUAUGUUAGAAUAGUAGUUGUUUUAGUCCACUUUGCAUUCCCAUAAAGGAAUACCCGAGACUGGGUAAUUUAUAAAGAAAAGAGGUUUGUUUGGUUCACAGUUCUGGAGGCUGUACAAGCAUGGCAUCAACAUCUGCU
RNAcentral lists this long non-coding RNA (1027 nucleotides) under Papio anubis (olive baboon). Its description in RNAcentral is "lncRNA (ENSPANG00000037344.1)". The record is from RNAcentral. Lineage: Eukaryota; Metazoa; Chordata; Mammalia; Primates; Cercopithecidae.